This 263-nucleotide ribosomal RNA is filed under the name uncultured bacterium. RNAcentral's name for it is "partial 16S ribosomal RNA". It matches the Rfam family "Bacterial small subunit ribosomal RNA", at positions 793 to 1055 of the family's 1533-position model. The record is from RNAcentral.
GUCCACGCCCUAAACUAUGUCAACUAGCCGUUGGGAUCAUUGAAGGUCUUAGUGGCGCAGCUAACGCGAUAAGUUGACCGCCUGGGGAGUACGGCCGCAAGGUUAAAACUCAAAGGAAUUGACGGGGCCCGCACAAGCGGUGGAGCAUGUGGUUUAAUUCGAUGCAACGCGAAGAACCUUACCAGGCCUUGACAUCUAGCGAACUUUCCAGAGAUGGAUUGGUGCCUUCGGGAACGCUAAGACAGGUGCUGCAUGGCUGUCGU